Molecule: transfer RNA, 70 nt
Filed under: Neolethaeus assamensis
Lineage: Eukaryota; Metazoa; Arthropoda; Insecta; Hemiptera; Rhyparochromidae
Description: tRNA-Ser
Rfam family: tRNA
About the family: Transfer RNA (tRNA) molecules are approximately 80 nucleotides in length. Their secondary structure includes four short double-helical elements and three loops (D, anti-codon, and T loops).
Source: RNAcentral
GGUUAAAUAAGCUUUAGAAAAGCAUUUACUUUGAAAGUAAAAGACAAUGGUUAAAUCCCAUUAUUAACCU